AGUCCUAUAAGGGAAUAGUAAUCUUAUUGAGAAAGGGUUAUUGACCUCAGCCAAUUCAGGAACAGUUGUUCACUUGGCUAGAGGGAAAAACAAGGAGUGUGGCCAAUUCUCCUAACACUUGCUCCUCAAUCCCUUCUUAGGAAGACUUGCUGCAUGGUGGAUGGUCCUGAGAUGGCGGUGCUCACAGGUGGUCACGUUUGGUGCUUGCAGAUUCGUAAUCCCUGCGCCCUUGGCUUUAUUUAUUCUGAUCAUACAAUGACAAACCAGUUCCCAGUGCUGCUAUAGAGGGCUUUCUGGACUGCAAUGCACCUUCCGUAAGGAGAACUUGGCUUCAGCAGCUAGUCCAGGUAUGUAUAAUGACAGUCACACGCUUGCCUUAUGAUGCACCUGUGCUUCCUGACAAGAGUCUAAGCACUGAUGGAAGGGUUGUGCUAUUCAGGAGGGUGCUGGUAUCAUUUCCAGACCAUCAUGGGAGGGAGAGAAUCACACAGCAGAUACUGUGUUUCCUGCUUUGGGUGAACCUUACUCUUUGAUUAUUUGAAUGAGUCUGUGGAGUCAAGCGAGUGUAAGGGCGUUCUGGUGUUACCCUGGUAGAAACGUAUCAGCUGGCACAUAAGUGGUCACCCUCACUGCUUUUGCUCCAGAGAAGAUUCCUGACUGACACAUCUUGCUGAAAAAGGCUCUCGGUCUGUCUUGCUUCAUAGUGGGAAGUUCACUGGGAAAUGCCUGGGUUUUGUUUCAUGCACUUGCUCAUUUGCAGGAAAGUUGUUAUCGUAACUGAUGCUGGGGGAAGGCUGAGGCCUUCCCAUGACCCUCUUUUGGGGAUUUUUUUUUUUAAGUUAAAUUCUUAUUUAUAUCCCAACUUCAUGUUCCACACAUUGGUCAAGAGCAGUGACAAGAGAAUCCAUGUGGGCUGUUGUACAGAUUUUCGAGAGCUGAUAAAGAUAUCACCAGGAUGAGAGAUCUUCCCAGUUGGAAGUGUGGAGACUGGGGGGUGCUCUCAAGGUAGGGCUAGCCGCUGUACCUAGGGACUGGAUGGGCCACCAUCAGAUGUGAGCAUGUAGGAAGAGGAGGGGCCCAAAGUAGUACAACAGUGAUGUUGGCGGAACCACAGUCCCCGAGUGGCUAUCUCAGCUAAGGCAAUGACCCUGGACGGACUGAAAGGCUGAGAAGAUGGAAGAAAGGGUCACAAAAUGAGGAAGUCAUAGGACCAAUGUUGGGGAUCUUGAUGAUACAUCCACAAAUGAGUUGUUAGACUGGGAAACAAAAUAGAGGUGGGGAACUACCCCCGGCUAGCCAGAACUGUAGGAAAUAAGAUGCAUACUUUCCAAGUCCUCAGGAGAGAGCCAGGUUUCCAUCAGGGAGAAACGUGGGGCCAUGGAAAAGAAGUGAAGCCCCGAGGGACUUUGCUAGUGAAUAUGUUCUAUGGAACCACGGGGGCAGGUGGGACAUGGGGGGUGAGAGAUAGGUUCUUACUGGAGCUUUGGGAAGCUGCCCUAAGGAAUAGUUAGCUUCCUAGUGGAGAUGGUAACUGGUCCUUCUCGUACAAGGUUGCUUCUAGGAUUUGGGUAAGCCAUUUGUGAUGGUCUUCUUCUUCUUCUUGAAACUGAUUUCUUGGAGAUGAGACAGUAGGAGUGGAGGAUCGCCUGGGAUCAUGUAGAGCUCAAUGACCCUUCUCUUGAUUCAUGUGAGGAUGCUAGUAGCCUUGGUUGGAUUUUUCUGCAGUGGGACUUUUAUAGUCCCCUCAGGACCUUGAUGUGACUAACCAUAUGUUCACCAUUGAGAAACGCAAGUCCCCAUCCACACACCCCAGGGUCUAUAUACCUGCAGAGGACUUCUGACCUACAGCAAGUGGGCUCCCUUCUCAUCUUGAAAACCUUCCAGUGUGAACUCUAGAACCAAGGAAGACAGAGAAAGGGGACAAUGUCAGCAUCAUUGCAAGGGAGGUUGGUGGUUGGAAACCAUAGCCCUUGGAGAAAUGGAAGGGGCCCUUUGUCUGUCUUGUCUCUGCUUUUCUGUGGUACUUGAAGAGAAGUUGUUCGUGGUGGAUUCGCUUUACUUGUGACGAAUCAUUCACGGACAACACUUUUUUCAGUACCAAAUGCUACCUCUAAGGAUUUCCUGGACAUGAUGGCAACUUGCAGAAAGAUGGCGGUUCAGUCAAGCUGGUAGAGAAGCCAAGUAUGGAUGUUUGGCCACGGACAGUGUGCUUGAGCUAGCUGUAAGUCACCUGGUCGGGUUACCUGAGCAUCUGAUCCAUCUGUAGGCCUCUCAUCAGUGGGCCGUGCUAACCUUGGUGAGGCAGCUGUGGCUCAGCCCCCCAAGUAUCAGCUUACAAGACUUUGAAAAGAGGUCAUCUUCCGGAAGAGAUGUUGGUGCCAGCACCAUUCAGGGUGUGUGACUGGUUGACCAGAGGGGCAUGCACUCUGUUCACCCUGUGGGCCACCUAGUCACCAACCCUCAGCAUCAAUUCCACUCAAAGAAGAGUUUCCAGAGAUCCUAUCAAGUUUGGGGAUGUGUCAAUGGACUUGAUGGCUGUGCCUGCUCAGUGGACCAGGAUGAACUGUGGUCUUAGGGGUGUAUGUUUACAUAAGAUGCCAUGAGGCAUUCGUGGUAGCCGCUGCAUCACUAUCACAGCCUACUUGAAAUGUUGACUUCAGAUGUGGACAUGAUGUUGACUUCCCAUGAGGGACCUGAAUUCCCUUCUCUCCUGGGAGAGUCUGUGAGAUGAUACCAGCCUUGAGAAGCAGGCAUGGUUGUCCUGACAUCACCACACUACCACAGGAGCUUCUGGAAUAUGUUCUCUUCAUGGAAGCUGUGGAACAGAGCCCCCUCUGGUCCAGGAGGACUAACCAGAUUCAAGGCUAUCAGCAUCCCCCUUCAGGUAAGUGUGCCUCGGGUGAGCAUGCACUUAAUGUAGGUGUAUGUCACUCGGCUCGGCCCACUACCCAAUGCUGUCCCACCCCUUCUUCACAGGACAGUGGAAGCAGUCACCUUUUCGAGAGAGUUGAUGUGAUCUUCGCCACUGUUCUUCGCCGGUGAUCAUGUGUGAUACUUGGAGAGAGGCUGGCCGUGAUGAAUUCGAUUCAUCUAAACGAGUCAUACACGGCUCUCCUCUCUUCUAGUGUCAAACUCUGCCUCAGAGGUCUUCUUGAGCCACUACUGUAUCCAAGGUGGGUUUCUGGAUGGUUGAACCUGUGAAAAGUACCUUCAUCCAAUUACAUAUUUUGUACAUUAACCCCAGUGUCCAAGGUGACUCACAUACGACUGCCUAGGACACUGCUGAUUUUUGAAGAGACCAGAGACACUGUUGGGAGAUUCUGUUUAAAUGUUUAAACACACUGGCUAGCUUCUGUUUUGGUUAGUGCCUAACUCUACCAUGGAAGAACAACUAGAAGCAGCCUUGGCUAGUUAACUUUGGGGAUACAGACUAGAAUGGGACCCGGGACAUUGUGAGCCUGUGUUGAGUUAUCUGUAGCCAUUCCAUAUUCUGAAGUGAAGUUUUUGAUGCUCAGCUUCACCCAGCAUCCCCAGGACAACCUGCCUUGCAAACUUGUGGUUUGCUGUGGGCAUGGCUCUGCCACCUUUGACUCAGUAAACAUUGCACAACGAGUGAAGAAUCAGCUUCUUCUUGGCACUUACUUGGGGCCGAUAAACCAGAGGUUGGUCAGAGAGCGUGGGCCUGGUUGGGACUUAAGCCACUUGGCCCACUUAUUCUCAGGGUCCUGUCCACUCUCAGUGGCUACUCCCAAGGUGCCCCACUGUGAAGAAGAUAAAGGAAUACUGUGAGAGGUGCCAUCCCCCGGUACUUGGAGGGAGGUUGCUCACAGUGAGCUUGCAUUAUUUAAUGAUGCCCAAUACAGGGCAGACCUGUUUUCUGUAUCACAUCUCACCAGGUGUUUCCUUGGACCUGAUACCAAUCGUGAGGAAGCCACGUUCCUGGCGGGGUUUGUACCAUCGUCCUUGAACAUGUGGUUCCUUCCAGUGUCCCCUGACCCCAUCCAGUCCCUUCAUGGAGGGCAUUGCCAACACUGAGGUAGAUACCCAUGUUACUAACUCAAGGCAUGGAUGUAGUGGCACUCAUGGUACCUCUGGCUUUUUUAAAAAGUAACAACCCCCCUCCUCCACUAGUAAAUCUCUUCUUAUAGGGAGGACUCAUACGUGCUAAGAAAUCCUGGAAUAGGGUCCAGGGGCCAGCAUUUUUCGGGGUGGGGAUAUAAGUGAGUGGGUGAUUUUCUAUGUUGGCUGGGAUCUCAGAAGAAAUUUGAGGACAGUGGAAGAACUAUUUUCCAAUUCUUCAUCCUCUUUGUAAAAAGAGGAUUUAUUCUUCCUAUUACUAUUUUAUUAAAAAGAUGUAUGCUCAUGAUAAA
Molecule: long non-coding RNA, 4370 nt
Organism: Mus pahari (shrew mouse)
Lineage: Eukaryota; Metazoa; Chordata; Mammalia; Rodentia; Muridae
Exons: 3
Source: RefSeq, a predicted model, not a curated record